UGAGAUCAUGCGCAUGGCAGCUUCUCUAGGAUAGCACCCUGCGUGAACACAGUAGCUGCUCAGUUAAGUCUUUGAUGGGUGUGAUCCUGAUUCAGCUUGAUCAAUUCUGCAGUCAUACUGGAUUGUGUUUGAAAAGGUGUCCAGAAAAACCUGGCCAUCUGCCUCCUGUCUUCCCAGGUAAGUGUUCCUGGUAUUGACCUC
RNAcentral lists this long non-coding RNA (201 nucleotides) under Homo sapiens (human). RNAcentral's name for it is "long non-coding RNA NONHSAT204824". Lineage: Eukaryota; Metazoa; Chordata; Mammalia; Primates; Hominidae. The record is from RNAcentral.